ACUAAGGAAGAUGUACGAGAGCUCAUAUACAGAGAAAUUUUAGAGUACCAUCCUAACAUGUUGAAAGAAUACUUAGAAGGUGCGGAGCCAACAGGGUUCAUGUAUCCAAGUGCUGUUGACCAUUUUAAGAAGCAAUUUGCUUACCUUGAGGAGCACUAUGGAAAUGGUGCAACUGCUGCUCCACCUGAGAGGCAGCAUGCAUCCUUGCCGAGGCCGUGCGUGUUAUAUUCAGAUAAUACAGUACAGAAUUCACUGGAAGUCUCAAAUGAUCUUUCCAAAUGCUCUAUCAAAGAAAUUGGGAAGCCACAUAUGGACCAAAAUGGUGGGAUCCCAAUGACAAGGCUUCCUCUUCAUGUUCCUCAAAGUAUCCAAGGUGCUGCAAGACCUGGGAAAGUUGUUGGUUCAGUAAUGCGUUAUAACAAUUGUGGGGUGGCGGCAACAGCAGAAGCUCAUGAACAACGACGGGUGGUCAGAAAUCCAACUAUUUCAACUCAAUAUACUGCUUCAAACUGUUCAUAUCCUAGAAGAAAUCCAGUCUGUAAAAAUGAAAGGAGAGAAGAUGAAGGGGUUGAAGGCUCUAAUGGAUUGCAGCCAAAGCCUCAGUACAUGGCCAGGAAAGUUGCUGCUGCCCAAGGUGGAUCUGGGAAUCACUGGUACUGAUAAUGUGGGCAUGUGGUAAACUAGAAUGCUCGACUGGCUAUAACCAACCUAAUGUUGACAGUCAUCGGAGCACAUUUAAUUGGAUUGAUCUUGCUGCCAAAGUGAAUUUAUAUGUUUCUACUGCUGUAAUUUAGUGGUGUUUUUCCACCAGCUCAAUUGCUUGAGAAGAUUUGAGGGCUGAGACUUCUGUUGUAGGAUGUUAGGCAGCAAGUUGUAAUUUAUAACGCUAAUUUAUGGUUGACUGGGUUCUUUGGUGCUUACCAUUCAUGACCUUAUAGCUCUCUGAUUUAGCUCAAUAACCCAGAUACAG
Molecule: unclassified non-coding RNA, 970 nt
Filed under: Hevea brasiliensis (rubber tree)
Lineage: Eukaryota; Viridiplantae; Streptophyta; Magnoliopsida; Malpighiales; Euphorbiaceae
Source: RNAcentral